GAUGAAGAACGUAGCGAAAUGCGAUAAGUAGUGUGAAUUGCAGAAUUCAGUGAAUCAUCGAAUCUUUGAACGCACAUUGCGCCCCUUGGUAUUCCGAGGGGCAUGCCUGUUCGAGCGUCAUUAUAACCCCUCAAGCUUAGCUUGGUGUUGGGGCUUGCUGUAAUAGAGCAGCCCUUAAAAUCAGUGGCGGUGCCAUUAGGCUCUAAGCGUAGUAAUUCUUCUCGCUAUAGGGUUCUGGUGGAUGCUUGCCAUUAACCUCUAAUUUUCUAUGGUUGACCUCGGAUCAGGUAGGGAUACCCGCUGAACUUAAGCAUAUCAAUAAGCGGAGGA
RNAcentral lists this unclassified non-coding RNA (330 nucleotides) under soil metagenome. RNAcentral describes it as "partial contains 5.8S ribosomal RNA, internal transcribed spacer 2, and large subunit ribosomal RNA". The stretch from base 1 to 120 matches the Rfam family "5.8S ribosomal RNA", at positions 35 to 154 of the family's 154-position model. The record is from RNAcentral.